This is a long non-coding RNA of Carya illinoinensis, 592 nucleotides long. RefSeq lists it as uncharacterized. Lineage: Eukaryota; Viridiplantae; Streptophyta; Magnoliopsida; Fagales; Juglandaceae. The record is from RefSeq and is a predicted model, not a curated record. The transcript has 2 exons.
GUUUCAUUUAUAGAAAACAAAACCCUUCCCCAAAAGAGAUCUUCACCCAUCCCGAGAUGAAACCAUACCCAGAGCUCGCCCGUCGCCAUUGUUGCUCCCAAUCGCCGCAUGGCAGUCGCUGUCGCCGCUCCCUAAAUGUUUUUGCUAUACUGUGAGUACUUUUAUGGGCAGAUAUUGAAGUAGAAAAUGAAGAAAAAUUUGACUGCGAAAGAGAACAUCGCCUCCAAAAAAUAGAGGAAGAACUCCAAAAGUGAGAGGAAGAAAUCCAAAAAAGGAAGGAAGAACUCCAACAUGCAAGAGUACAGAUUCAAAUAUCGGAAGAGGAUAUCCAAAAUGAUUGAAAUGAGCUUCAUGGUGUAAUGAAAGAUAUUAACCAUACUCGCAUACAACCAUGCAUGUAUUGAGGACUUGCAAUUCUAAUAUUUCGUUGUUGCAUAGGAUCAAGAAUAGUUACAAAUUAAGUAAAACUGUAUCAAACUGUGUAAUGUUGUUAAGUAGGUUGUAAUAUAUAGGUUUACAAUCUUGUAAUAUUCAAACCCAUCAGUUGUAUAUGAAACUUUUUGAAUAUGUGAUAUCCUAUCACUUAUUGUCA